ACCUCAGCCAACAUGCUCCCAAACAGCCUUGGUAACUUGCUGUUUCUCACUCACAGAACUUUUACCUCCUUUCACAGUACGCAUUAGCAAGGCGGAGAGACUUCAGUGGCUGGAGCUGGUCCAGUUGAAUUCCACAGGAACCUGGCUCCACUCAGUUCCGUCCACACUGGAUGGGGGACAGAAGUGUGGCCACCUGGAACGCACAGCCAGGCCAUGGGAUGCGACUAGAUGAUGGAGCCUGGAGGCCUCACGCUGCUGGGACACGCCCUGGGGCGGGAAGGGGUCUUCAAAGGCCCAAGUAAUCACUGUAAUCUUGACACAAAAAUAACAUUGGUGUAUUAGAUGGCAAGAGAAAUCACUCCACUAUUCUACAGGAACUGUCAGCACAAACUACCUGGACAUCAAGUCCUACCAGUCACUUCAAGAAAUUAUGCAAGCUUCAGCAUUCAAUCCAGACAAUCUGCACAUGCAAUGGUUUAUUUGCUUCCCUGAUGAAAAAGGGAGUGUGUGAAUUUUUCCUUUGUCGGUAAAACUUAUCUAGGGUAUGUUUGAGUCACUUUUCUUCCCUAUUCAGAAUUGCUGUCACCUUGGUCUUCCUUAUUUAUUACCUCUACAGCUCUGCUCCGGUCAGAGUCACUCUCACUUCUCACCUGAUUGCAAGAGCCCAAGGAAGAUCUCCUCCUCCUCAGCAUGUUCCUAACACAGCAAUCUGAGCACCUUCAAGUCAAGGUGGCAGCUGGCCAGGUGUUCUCAGGCACAAAUGAAGAAUUUAGAAUGAAACGCGUUGGACUGGAAAUGCUCAGAGUAGGUGAUGAAAUCCAGGAAAGCCCCUUCUGGAUAGCUUUGAACUGCGGCUUUUGUUCCUUCAGAUGGACUCAGCAGAGGGGGACCCAAUGACCUCUCCUACAGACUAGUCGUUCUUGUCAUGGAUUUUAAAGAACAUGGCUACUGGUCAAAGGUGAUGAAGUGAAAGGGUAAUUCUUUUGCCUACUCCCUUAAUCAUUUUCUGGUCUAGUGAUAAAAAAAUGAAACAAAACAAAAAAAAACCAACUAUUUAAAUGCCCAAACUGAGAAACUAACAACCAAAAAACAGGGUUGGAGGACACCAUCAACAUUCUCAGCAAGGAACUCACUGACUGUAUAUCAAGAGCCACAGAUAGCUCAUAACCUUUGACUCAGUGAUCUUUAGACUCCUAGACUCUGAAGCAAGGCCCAGCACUCUACAGGCCUUAGGCUUGCUGCUUAAUUUUGUACAUCUUGUGCACUAAGGAUGGCUUUUACAUUCUUCAGUGGUUGAAACAAAAUGUAAAAAACAAUAGCAUUUCAUGACACAUUGAAAACUAAAUAAAUUCAAAUUUCACUGCACAUACAUAAGUGUUUUUGAAUUUAGGUAAAUCAUAUGUCCUCCAAAGCCAAAGACAUUUAGUAGCUGUCCCUUUAUAGGAAAAGGUUGCUGACCCUUGAUCUAUCCAUAAGAAGUAGUCCCCAAAAUGGAGAAGAAAUGAUAUGGAGGAAGCUUAUGCUGUGUGAUUUACAAUAGAAAAAUUAGAAAAAUGUGAUUGUUCCCUCGGGGAUAUAGAUAUUAAGUAGACUGUGGUACAUCCACUCAAUGGAACUUUUAAAAACCACUACAAUUGAAGGUGUUGAUUAUCUCAUAUUGAAAAAUAAAAUGGCUGUGUUAAUAAAGGUAGAAAACGUAAAAGCCGAAACUUGGGUAACUAAGUGAUUACGGCCUUUAGUUAGCCAAGUCCUUCAUUAUCCAACAGUUAUCCGGUUAUCCAGUUUCAAUGGAAACUAGGUUAUUAAGGCACAUAACUUACAUGUGAGAGAAAACGACUUAAAAAGUAUUCAUAGUAACUGGGUAGCAGUGAUCAAUUUUGUUGAUUUUUUUCCUCAUCUCUAUUUUUAUUUUUUCCCUGUAAAAAUGUUCAUGUUACAUAUUAAAAGCCUUAAUGAAAAGAUGGGAAAAAAAUAUUAGUGGCUAUGAAAGGACAGCAGAAAGCUCUCUUCAAGACAGAGACUGCUUGGCAGGGCUUAGCAGGGAGUCCCUGACAUCAGGGACAGUAGCUCGUUCUGCUCCAGCAAUUUCUGUCUUUAUCUUCUUCACUGUGGAUCUUUUCAGAAAACAGAAGAGUGGGCUGCUUUUCAAAACCAUCUGUUUCCUUUCCCCACCAACCCAGAGAGCCAGCAGGCAUGAAAGACUUUCCCUUCAUUUAAUAAAUAUAAAUGAAUUUA
Molecule: long non-coding RNA, 2235 nt
Organism: Chinchilla lanigera (long-tailed chinchilla)
Lineage: Eukaryota; Metazoa; Chordata; Mammalia; Rodentia; Chinchillidae
Exons: 4
Source: RefSeq, a predicted model, not a curated record